UUUCCACUCUCCGUUCUAAAGUCCAGUGGUGGAGGGCUAGUGGGAAGUAAGAAAGGGCCCCACCCCAGCUAAAGGGAGGAAACCAAUCCCAAGGUACAAACAGCGCAUUCCUGCGGGGGAGAUGGUUGUGCGCCAUUGGAUCGGAACACAGCCCUGAAGUUGGAAGGUCAGAAAGCGAUAGAAGGCAGGAUUGAAGGUGUGACCACCUUCAGAUGAAGACAAAAUACUGGAUGAUGUUCACGACAACCAGACAUACCGAAACCUCCUACUGGGUUAGCAAUAACUGAGGCUUGUUUGCUCAGGGAUGGUUUUGUCUACAGUAUAUUUGGGACUAAUACCUUAAGGGGGUAAAGUUCAGGAUGGAUGUACUAAGAUUUGGCUGAUGCCUGUGCUCAAUGUAAGUCGCGUUUGUUUAACUUUUUACUGCAACGCAAGGGUAGUUGUCGUGUAUUUCCUAGCCUUAAAUGUCCUGCCAAGUGUACCUUCCGGAAAAACAAACACACAAAACACUGGGGUGAGAUUCAACAACAUGAUGGGGCGGAAAACAAAUUGUCAGCAAUCAAGUCACACGAUAACCUGAUCCUGACUCACUUCAAUGUGGAUUCCAAAGAAGAUGAAAUUGCUUCAUAUUUGUUUUCCAGUAAAAGCCUGACA
Long non-coding RNA from Syngnathus acus (greater pipefish), 654 nucleotides. RefSeq lists it as uncharacterized. The transcript has 3 exons. The record is from RefSeq and is a predicted model, not a curated record. NCBI's taxonomy places the organism in Eukaryota, Metazoa, Chordata, Actinopteri, Syngnathiformes, Syngnathidae.